GAGUGAAAAAGAGGGAAAGUUGCUGUUUUGAAUAUGAAAUAGAAUGAAAAAUAAAAAUAACCUAAACAGCACUUAAGUGGUUCUGCCACGCACCAUUCGUGGGGCGAACCUUGUUCGCGGCGCGAGCUGAAGCUUUGUAUUCAGUUCGCUGGGCGAACGAUGGUCACGGGGCGAACAGCAGAAAACAGAACCUAAAUUUUUCAAAAUUUAACACAGCAGAAAAUCAACAAAGCAGACUUGAGAAAAUAUAAAAUGCAGACUUACAACGUUGGGUUGCCUCCCAACAAGCGCUUUGUUUAACAUCGUUUAGAGCUCGAUGGUCCAAUGAUUAGCCCGGUCCAGAUAGAGAAA
This 351-nucleotide long non-coding RNA is filed under the name Lathyrus oleraceus (garden pea). RNAcentral's name for it is "Pisum sativum (pea) long non-coding RNA (PSAT_LNC034050)". The record is from RNAcentral. Lineage: Eukaryota; Viridiplantae; Streptophyta; Magnoliopsida; Fabales; Fabaceae.